This 102-nucleotide small nuclear RNA is filed under the name Chinchilla lanigera (long-tailed chinchilla). The record is from RNAcentral. Lineage: Eukaryota; Metazoa; Chordata; Mammalia; Rodentia; Chinchillidae.
GUGCUCACUUCAGCAGCACCUAUACUAAAUUGGAAAGAGACAGAGAUGAGCAUGGCCCUGUGCAAGGAUGACAUGCAAAUUCAUGAAGCGUUCCAUAUUUUU